AAAGGCCUGUAGCUCAGCUGGUUAGAGCGCACCCCUGAUAAGGGUGAGNUCGGCAGUUCAAGUCUGCCCAGGCCUACCAAUGAGUCUGGGUUAACAAGAGUUGUUAUGAAGGGGCUAUAGCUCAGCUGGGAGAGCGCCUGCCUUGCACGCAGGAGGUCAGCGGUUCGAUCCCGCUUAGCUCCACCAUUUGUGAGUUGAGGUGUUAUGUGUUGAGACGAAGAGGCUAGCUAUAAGCAUCCCGAUAGGGUGAUUUAUAUCCUGGUUUUUUUAGCAGUACUUUGCGAUUUAUCGUUUAGUGCUGGUUAUCCUAGAGAUAUCCAGAGCCUGCCGGGGACGACUUGGUGGGGUAGUUCUUUAACAAGUUGGAUUUGAGUCAAGAUUAUUAUGUAGGCUUGUGCAUUGGCAUAAGCAGACAGAAUGAUCUAACCAAGAGUAAUCAAGUAAAAAGCGAACUUGGUGGCAAUACAAAUAAAAUGGCGAAGGUAAAAUCGAAGCGAAAUGAUGUUUUAUGGUGGGCGUAACGAGCCGAUCAGAUCAUUUAGGCUUAUAUGGUCAAGUGACUAAGCGCAUAUGGCGAAUGCCUUGGCAGUUAGAGGCGAUGAAGGACGUGCUAA
RNAcentral lists this unclassified non-coding RNA (614 nucleotides) under uncultured bacterium. RNAcentral's name for it is "partial contains 16S-23S ribosomal RNA intergenic spacer and 23S ribosomal RNA". The stretch from base 3 to 76 matches the Rfam family "tRNA". The record is from RNAcentral.